GACAGUGAGAGAGAGAGACAGAGAGAAAGGUCUUCCUUUGCCGUUGGUUCACCCUCCAAUGGCCGCCGCGGCUGGCGCGCUGCGGCCGGCGCACCGCGCUGAUCCGAUGGCAGGAGCCAGGAGCCAGGUGCUUUUCCUGGUCUCCCAUGGGGUGCAGGGCCCAAGCACCUGGGCCAUCCUCCACUGCACUCCCUGGCCACAGCAGAGGGCUGGCCUGGAAGAGGGGCAACCGGGACAGAAUCCGGCGCCCCGACCGGGACUAGAACCCGGUGUGCCGGCACCGCUAGGCGGAGGAUUAGCCUAGUGAGCCGCGGCGCCGGCCUGUAGCUGCUAAUUUCAAGCAUUCUGUGUAGCUCACGUGCUAUUAUGACACAAUUAUGUCAUGACAGGAAUUUGUAGUUCCUUCAAUUGUUGUUGCCUAACUAGUAGAUGUAUUUGUGGGACACACAGGUUGUCAUGUUCAUUAUUCUUUUCUCAGUUGCUGCAAGAAGUUUCAAGUAGCUAUUUGGCAGGAACAUGAACUUCACAAAAUUAUGAAAACUCAGUUUCUUCAGAAGAAAUAAGAAUCCUGGAUAUUAGUGUAGUUACCUAUUUACUAAUAUCCAAGGGGAAAGAUCUCAAGAUGGAAGCUGGCAGAAUGUCUGAAUACUUUCGCAUAAUCCUUAGAAAUGGCUGGUCAGAUGUGCAGCCAUAUAUAAGGCCAAGAGCCAUCCAUUCUGAGGAAAUCGUGAAGUUGGCCAAGUUUGUUCCAAAGGGAUCUCUUCACAAACUUUUGAGGACUAUUCUUACCUGCACCACUAUAUAUCCAUUUAAUUUAUGGAAUCUAUAGCCAACCAGGCCUAAAAUGCAGAACACAUAGAACCAGGACUGUAUUUUCAGCAAUGUUUCUCUAUUAUUACCAACAUUUCUUUGGUGCUAUGUGGGUAAUAAAAAAUAUUCUUCACCAGAAGCCCCAUAAAAUUAGUUAAAUUCUACCUUAAAUAAAAGUAACUCUUUAAUAUUAGAAAUACUAUUGUGUCAGGAUGUUAUAAUCACUAUCCUGUAAAGUCCAUAGUACCUUGACACAAAAGUUAGUUCCUUUGAAAGUUCCAAUUAGUCUUUCUUAUGUAUUAUUUCAUGAUUUUUAAAAAUAUAAUUUGGAUUUGUGCACUUCUUAUCUUUCAUGGAAAAUGUAUAUUGUUAAAUGAAGACAAACCCAAAUUGUGUUUUAAUACAAUAUAAAUGUAAGAAAUAAUGAAGAAAUACUCAAUCCAGUAGCUGAAAUAAGAUUUCCACCAAGAUAACUGUUAUGUCAGGUAAAAGCCAAAGCAGAAAUAUUAGAAGGGCCAUUAUAUUAUAACAGAAGGAGAAAAUAUAGGAAUUACCUUGUUUUGGAGAGGCAUUCUGAGAUCCCCAAGAUACCAUUAGUUUAUGAUCAGAAAACUGGGUUUCAGCACAGAUAUUUUGUCACAUAAUGGCUAGACGACUCUGAGUGCAUAAAUACAAUUCUCUGAAGCUCAGUAUACUCAUUGAUCAAAAGAAACCAAUAAUCGCUGUUUCAUCUGGUAGCUUUCAAGGAACUGGAAGGGAUGAAGUUCAGGGGAAAGUAUAAGAAACAUAGAAAAAAUAUCAAAAAUACAAGUUGGAUGAGAAGAUGCUGCUAAAGUGCAUUAUUAUUAUGGCUAUUAUCUUUAUUAUUAUUGAAAGAGCUCUUCCCUGAAGAUUAGCUUUUUAGCAUCAUCCUAAUGAUGUAAGCUCAUGUGUGUCUCACCUCCUCUUCCAGAGGGUGAUCUUCCAAAUGUUCAGGCUGUUUGCAACCACAGAGGCAAGAAACUUAACUGCAUUAUAAGGGUUUCAUCUCAUAACUCUUGACUCAUUAGCACUAAGUGAAAUGAACUAGCCAACUGAACCAAGAUACAUAACGAUAUUUUAAACGUGGGAAUUAACAAGUUUGCUUCUUCUUUAUCUAUUGACUUCACACAUAAAUUUACUGCUCUUCCCAGCUUCACUUUCAAGAUGACUUACCACGUGUGCUGCUCUGCCUGUGAAUCAGCUCAAGUUGUUUCACUCACCCGAUACAGACCUGUUGAGGGUAGACGUUACCAGAAACACAAGCAAAUGUGAAUGUGAUGUGUCAGUGUCACAAUGAAAACAAGGAUCGACUCUCUCCUCCUAACAUAUCUCAAGGUAAACUCUGUGGAGGUCUUCUGGCAAUAGUUGUUGAAUCAAGAUAAAAAAAUCUCAGGGAAUGGACUUCCUUCUUCAAAAUCUGGUCAUCUGAUGCUCUUCCUGAGCAAACAGUUGAUGGGCAGCUUGUGGUAUUUCUUCACAGGUCUAGUCAUUGAGCAUGGUGUCAUGGUUGACUUUUUCAUCUAGCAAUACAGAGCUAAGGGUGAACUUUCUAAAACAAUUGACUUCCUUGGAAGAAGAAACAUGCAAAUUCAAAGAAACAGUUGGCAAAUUUGACUUGUGUGAACCUCAAUACCUGCCAGAGAUGAAAAGCCAUCAGAGAAAGAAAUCAUUCCAGCAGGUAGAACUGGAUUUGUGCAAAAGCUACUCAGAAUCCUGGUAGGAAAGGGAAUAAAGUAAAUCCAGCUGAUGUCUGUUUCUGAUGAAGCUCAACUGUUACCUUGCUCUGAUUAGCCAAAAAGUAGUCACUUUCCUUUACCCCAGAGACACAUUCUAGGUGGUUGUGGUGUGAGGGGUUCUCUUCGGAAAAGCAAAGUUCUAAUGACAAAGGAUUUAGGCUUUGACUCAAUUUAAUAAAUCACCUAAUUAUCUACAAUAUGAUUAUCAAGUUGAUCACUCACUGAAAAAAAAAAAUGGAACCUUCCUGAGACAUGGCUGUGAGAACCAAUUUGCAAAUUACUUAGAGGUAGUGACUUUUUUUUUUUAUUUGAGAGAAUAUAUUGGUAGUUAUGAAACAGAACUCAAUAGUUUUAUUCAUUUUAUCUCAGUCAAAAAGUAAGUAUAUAUUUUUUUUUCCUGGAAAAGGCUUUAGUUAUUCAUCAUUUCAGUUUCACUCUUCUAUAUGAUUCUUUAAAAUUUCAAAAAACACUACAGUACAAUAGACAAAAUUUAAUUAUCAAACUUCACCAAAAUAGUUGCUCCAAUACCUUGCAGGAGAAAAAUAAUUACAUAUAUAGUUUACAUUUUACAAACUGGAAAAAGAUUAUGCUUAAUGUAUUUGAAAAUUCUUUGAUUAUGUUAUUAAUAUAUUCACUACAACAAAAUCUGACUUUACACAGAACUGUGAGAAUCAUAGCCAAAUACCAUUAUGGAAUAUUAGCACAGAAUAUUUAUUUAUGUUAGAUUCAAUCAUUGUAAAGAGUUUCCUAAUAUGGGUUUUAAAACAAAAGAUGAAACAAUGAAAAAAUAGUAUCAAAAUUGUAAUUCUAUGUUUAACAUCUUUAAAAUAAACAUGUUUUGGCUCAGGCUACAUGAUAUUAAGCAUGGACAGAGAGAAUGAGAAAAAGAAUGUUUUUGUUGAAAUUAUGCCAAUGCAUCCAAUGAACAAAGAAAGUAUCACCAAAACUUUAUGCUUGAAAAGUUUGUUAUCAUGUUGGACAAGCAAUUAACUUUUUGUCUGUGUUUUUCUUUAAAGAGAAUGAACAUAGACAUUAGUGGCUGUAUUUAGUACUGAUGAUUAGUUUCUAUCAAACCCCUCCCAUAUGGGUGCUGGUUUAUGUCCUGGCUGCUCCUCUUCUGACCCACAAUCCAGUUCUCUACUUAUGGCCUGGGAAAACAGAAGAUGGCCCAAGUGCCUGGGAACCUGUAUCCACAGGGUCCUGGAAGUCCUGGAAGAAGCUCCUGGCUUCAGAUCGACCCAGCUCCAUUCAUUGCGACCUUGAAGAGUGGACCAACAGAUGGAAGACCUCUCUCUCUGCCUCUUGCUCUGUCUGUCUGUAGCUCUACCUCACAAAUAAAUAAAUAAAAAUCUCAAAAAAAAAAAAAAAAAAAAACUAUACUUCCAUCCACUGAUUCAUUUCCCAAAGCCUUCCAUAGCUGGGCCAGGACAAUGCUGGGAGGAGAAAUCAAUCUGGGUCUUCAAGUUGUUUGGCAGAAUGCAACUAGUUAAGCUAUAACUUUUU
Non-coding RNA from Oryctolagus cuniculus (rabbit), 4070 nucleotides. The record is from RefSeq and is a predicted model, not a curated record. Lineage: Eukaryota; Metazoa; Chordata; Mammalia; Lagomorpha; Leporidae.